Molecule: ribosomal RNA, 362 nt
Filed under: uncultured bacterium
Lineage: Bacteria
Description: bacterial SSU rRNA
Rfam family: Bacterial small subunit ribosomal RNA
Source: RNAcentral
AACGAACGCUGGCGGCAUGCCUAACACAUGCAAGUCGAACGAGACCUUCGGGUCUAGUGGCGCACGGGUGCGUAACGCGUGGGAAUCUGCCCUUCGGUUCGGAAUAACUCAGGGAAACUUGAGCUAAUACCGGAUAAUGACGUAAGUCCAAAGAUUUAUCGCCGAAGGAUGAGCCCGCGUAGGAUUAGCUUGUUGGUGGGGUAAUGGCCCACCAAGGCGACGAUCCUUAGCUGGUCUGAGAGGAUGAUCAGCCACACUGGGACUGAGACACGGCCCAGACUCCUACGGGAGGCAGCGGUGGGGAAUUUUGGACAAUGGGCGGCAAGCCUGAUCCACGCAAUGCCGCGUGCAGGACGAAGGCC